This 468-nucleotide ribosomal RNA is filed under the name uncultured Comamonas sp. RNAcentral describes it as "bacterial SSU rRNA". It matches the Rfam family "Bacterial small subunit ribosomal RNA", at positions 913 to 1382 of the family's 1533-position model. The record is from RNAcentral. Lineage: Bacteria; Pseudomonadati; Pseudomonadota; Betaproteobacteria; Burkholderiales; Comamonadaceae.
ACGGGGACCCGCACAAGCCGGUGGAUGAUGUUGGUUUUAAUUCGAUGCAACGACGAAAACCUUACCCACCUUUGACAUGUACGGAAUCCUUUAGAGAUAGAGGAGUGCUCGAAAGAGAACCUGCACACAGGUGCUGCAUGGCUGUCGUCAGCUCGUGUCGUGAGAUGUUGGGUUAAGUCCCGCAACGAGCGCAACCCUUGCCAUUAGUUGCUACGAAAGGGCACUCUAAUGGGACUGCCGGUGACAAACCGGAGGAAGGUGGGGAUGACGUCAAGUCCUCAUGGCCCUUAUAGGUGGGGCUACACACGUCAUACAAUGGCCGGUACAGAGGGUAGCCAACCCGCGAGGGGGAGCCAAUCCCACAAAGCCGGUCGUAGUCCGGAUCGCAGUCUGCAACUCGACUGCGUGAAGUCGGAAUCGCUAGUAAUCGCGGAUCAGCAUGUCGCGGUGAAUACGUUCCCGGGUCUU